Molecule: ribosomal RNA, 1493 nt
Filed under: Nostoc sp. GT001
Lineage: Bacteria; Bacillati; Cyanobacteriota; Cyanophyceae; Nostocales; Nostocaceae
Description: bacterial SSU rRNA
Rfam family: Bacterial small subunit ribosomal RNA
Source: RNAcentral
AAAACGGAGAGUUUGAUCCUGGCUCAGGAUGAACGCUGGCGGUAUGCUUAACACAUGCAAGUCGAACGGUGUCUUCGGACAUAGUGGCGGACGGGUGAGUAACGCGUGAGAAUCUGGCUUCAGGUCUGGGACAACCACUGGAAACGGUGGCUAAUACCGGAUGUGCCGAAAGGUGAAAGGCUUGCUGCCUGAAGAUGAGCUCGCGUCUGAUUAGCUAGUUGGAAGUGUAAUGGACUCCCAAGGCGACGAUCAGUAGCUGGUCUGAGAGGACGAUCAGCCACACUGGGACUGAGACACGGCCCAGACUCCUACGGGAGGCAGCAGUGGGGAAUUUUCCGCAAUGGGCGAAAGCCUGACGGAGCAAUACCGCGUGAGGGAGGAAGGCUCUUGGGUCGUAAACCUCUUUUCUCAGGGAAGAACACAAUGACGGUACCUGAGGAAUAAGCAUCGGCUAACUCCGUGCCAGCAGCCGCGGUAAUACGGAGGAUGCAAGCGUUAUCCGGAAUGAUUGGGCGUAAAGCGUCCGCAGGUGGCAAUGUAAGUCUGCUGUUAAAGAGUCUAGCUCAACUAGAUAAGAGCAGUGGAAACUACAUAGCUAGAGUACGUUCGGGGCAGAGGGAAUUCCUGGUGUAGCGGUGAAAUGCGUAGAGAUCAGGAAGAACACCAGUGGCGAAGGCGCUCUGCUAGGCCGUAACUGACACUGAGGGACGAAAGCUAGGGGAGCGAAUGGGAUUAGAUACCCCAGUAGUCCUAGCCGUAAACGAUGGAUACUAGGCGUGGCUUGUAUCGACCCGAGCCGUGCCGUAGCUAACGCGUUAAGUAUCCCGCCUGGGGAGUACGCUUAAGCAACGGUGAAACUCAAAGGAAUUGACGGGGGCCCGCACAAGCGGUGGAGUAUGUGGUUUAAUUCGAUGCAACGCGAAGAACCUUACCAAGGCUUGACAUGUCGCGAAUCUUCUUGAAAGAGAAGAGUGCCUUCGGGAGCGCGAACACAGGUGGUGCAUGGCUGUCGUCAGGCUCGUGUCGUGAGAUGUUGGGUUAAGUCCCGCAACGAGCGCAACCCUCGUUUUUAGUUGCCAGCAUUAAGUUGGGCACUCUAGAGAGACUGCUAGGUGACAAACCGGAGGAAGGUGGGGAUGACGUCAAGUCAGCAUGCCCCUUACGCCUUGGGCUACACACGUACUACAAUGCUCCGGACAGAGGGCAGCAAGCAUGCGAAUGCAAGCAAAUCCCGUAAACCGGAGCUCAGUUCAGAUCGCAGGCUGCAACUCGCCUGCGUGAAGGAGGAAUCGCUAGUAAUUGCAGGUCAGCAUACUGCAGUGAAUUCGUUCCCGGGCCUUGUACACACCGCCCGUCACACCAUGGAAGCUGGUAGUGCCCGAAGUCAUUACUCCAACCAUUCGUGGAGGAGGAUGCCUAAGGCAGGACUGGUGACUGGGGUGAAGUCGUAACAAGGUAGCCGUACCGGAAGGUGUGGCUGGAUCACCUCCUUU